Molecule: ribosomal RNA, 384 nt
Filed under: Microbacterium sp. CT28
Lineage: Bacteria; Bacillati; Actinomycetota; Actinomycetes; Micrococcales; Microbacteriaceae
Description: bacterial SSU rRNA
Rfam family: Bacterial small subunit ribosomal RNA
Source: RNAcentral
CCGCAACGAGCGCAACCCUCGUUCUAUGUUGCCAGCACGUAAUGGUGGGAACUCAUGGGAUGCUGCCGGGGUCAACUCGGAGGAAGGUGGGGAUGACGUCAAAUCAUCAUGCCCCUUAUGUCUUGGGCUUCACGCAUGCUACAAUGGCCGGUACAAAGGGCUGCAAUACCGUGAGGUGGAGCGAAUCCCAAAAAGCCGGUCCCAGUUCGGAUUGAGGUCUGCAACUCGACCUCAUGAAGUCGGAGUCGCUAGUAAUCGCAGAUCAGCAACGCUGCGGUGAAUACGUUCCCGGGUCUUGUACACACCGCCCGUCAAGUCAUGAAAGUCGGUAACACCUGAAGCCGGUGGCCCAACCCUUGUGGAGGGAGCCUCGAGGGUCGAUAG